This 463-nucleotide unclassified non-coding RNA is filed under the name Hevea brasiliensis (rubber tree). The record is from RNAcentral. Lineage: Eukaryota; Viridiplantae; Streptophyta; Magnoliopsida; Malpighiales; Euphorbiaceae.
UGACCCAAUAGAUCUGCCAUGCAAUUUUACAAACUCGCCCAUAAGCAACAUUGAGCCCAUAGAACAAAUCCGACAUGUAAAGCUUUCAUAAGAAUCAAAUAAAAAUCACAGCUUCAACAUAUAUGCAUCCAUGAAGAUCGAAACAAAAUUCCUCAGAAUAACAUACAGCGAGAUUAAACAAGCUCACAGGCAUCGAAUCGAAGGCGUAAUGGAAAUAAAUCCCAACUAAUCAUGCUUGCAGAUCGAAAUUAUCAAAACCCCAACUCCACGAGUUCACACACAUCCAUGAACAGAGGAUGUAGAAGAACACAAAGAGCAGCAUAUAUACUUCCAUAAUCAAACAUAAGCAUUACAUGCAUAAUUCAUCAAUAUUGCAUGGAAAUAGACAAAUCUAAAUAAAGCUUCGGCAAGCAUAACUCGAGAUCUCAUGAACUCGCCCAGCAGCGCAAAUCCAGAAGAUCCG